AGGAACUUAGGUUUAAUCAGACCAAGGGCCUUCAAAGCCCUAAGCGGAAGUGAAAAUCUCCCAGUUUCUG
RNAcentral lists this transfer RNA (70 nucleotides) under Channa stewartii (golden snakehead). Its description in RNAcentral is "tRNA-Trp". It matches the Rfam family "tRNA". Rfam says of the family: Transfer RNA (tRNA) molecules are approximately 80 nucleotides in length. Their secondary structure includes four short double-helical elements and three loops (D, anti-codon, and T loops). Further hydrogen bonds mediate the characteristic L-shaped molecular structure. tRNAs have two regions of fundamental functional importance: the anti-codon, which is responsible for specific mRNA codon recognition, and the 3' end, to which the tRNAs corresponding amino acid is attached (by aminoacyl-tRNA synthetases). tRNAs cope with the degeneracy of the genetic code in two manners: having more than one tRNA (with a specific anti-codon) for a particular amino acid; and 'wobble' base-pairing, i.e. permitting non-standard base-pairing at the 3rd anti-codon position. Lineage: Eukaryota; Metazoa; Chordata; Actinopteri; Anabantiformes; Channidae. The record is from RNAcentral.